UGAACGCUGGCGGCAUGCCUAACACAUGCAAGUCGAACGCGAAAGUCACUUCGGUGGCGAGUAGAGUGGCGGACGGGUGAGUAACGCGUAGGAAUCUACCCAGUAGUGGGGGACAACUCGGGGAAACUCGAGCUAAUACCGCAUACGCCCUACGGGGGAAAGUGGGGGAUCUUCGGACCUCACGCUAUUGGAUGAGCCUGCGUCGGAUUAGCUGGUUGGUAGGGUAAAGGCCUACCAAGGCGACGAUCCGUAGCUGGUCUGAGAGGACGGCCAGCCACACUGGGACUGAGACACGGCCCAGACUCCUACGGGAGGCAGCAGUGGGGAAUAUUGGACAAUGGGCGCAAGCCUGAUCCAGCAAUGCCGCGUGUGUGAAGAAGGCCUGCGGGUUGUAAAGCACUUUCAAUUGGGAAGAAAUGCUUGAGGUUAAUACCCUCGAGUCUUGACGUUACCUUUAGAAGAAGCACCGGCUAACUCC
This 478-nucleotide ribosomal RNA is filed under the name uncultured bacterium. Its description in RNAcentral is "bacterial SSU rRNA". It matches the Rfam family "Bacterial small subunit ribosomal RNA", at positions 30 to 504 of the family's 1533-position model. The record is from RNAcentral.